Molecule: unclassified non-coding RNA, 25 nt
Filed under: Mus musculus (house mouse)
Lineage: Eukaryota; Metazoa; Chordata; Mammalia; Rodentia; Muridae
Description: oocyte_clustered_small_RNA10813
Source: RNAcentral
UGUCACAUGAGUGGAGGGCUACACA